AUCUUUGAUUAGCUCCCCUGGAUUAGGAGCUCCCUUUUCUGAUUGCUUCUGUCAGUUCUCUGUGCUGUUUCUAGACCUGUUUCCAUAUUCUUCCUCAGGUUCUUCUUUUCAAAGGCUUCAUGCUCUUUGAUCCCUGAGUAGCCUGUUCCCAUGCUCACCCCUGAUGAUUCAAUGUUGAGCGUUGCUUCAGAAUGUUUCUUUGGCCAUCUCUUGCUGCUGCUUCUCCCAACCUUCAUGCUGAUCCUGCUGCCUAUUACUGCAGAACUAGGCCGAUAGCUUUCCUACAGCUUUCUGUCUCCAUUUUGUUCUUCUUCCCACUGCCUCGGCACACUGUUGCCAAAUUAAUCUGUCUAAAACCUGAUGUCUUUGGCUUGAAAAUUUUCAGUGUCUACAUAUUCCUUGCAAAGUUAAAUGCAAUCUAGAUAUUCUGACAUUUAAAACUGCAAAUAUUUAUUCUGUUU
RNAcentral lists this long non-coding RNA (461 nucleotides) under Homo sapiens (human). RNAcentral's name for it is "non-protein coding lnc-COL21A1-6:1". The record is from RNAcentral. Lineage: Eukaryota; Metazoa; Chordata; Mammalia; Primates; Hominidae.